Molecule: ribosomal RNA, 429 nt
Filed under: Chloroflexota bacterium
Lineage: Bacteria; Bacillati; Chloroflexota
Description: Chloroflexi bacterium partial 16S ribosomal RNA
Rfam family: Bacterial small subunit ribosomal RNA
Source: RNAcentral
UGGGGAAUAUUGCACAAUGGGCGCAAGCCUGAUGCAGCCAUGCCGCGUGUAUGAAGAAGGCCUUCGGGUUGUAAAGUACUUUCAGCGGGGAGGAAGGGAGUAAAGUUAAUACCUUUGCUCAUUGACGUUACCCGCAGAAGAAGCACCGGCUAACUCCGUGCCAGCAGCCGCGGUAAUACGGAGGGUGCAAGCGUUAAUCGGAAUUACUGGGCGUAAAGCGCACGCAGGCGGUUUGUUAAGUCAGAUGUGAAAUCCCCGGGCUCAACCUGGGAACUGCAUCUGAUACUGGCAAGCUUGAGUCUCGUAGAGGGGGGUAGAAUUCCAGGUGUAGCGGUGAAAUGCGUAGAGAUCUGGAGGAAUACCGGUGGCGAAGGCGGCCCCCUGGACGAAGGCUGACGCUCAGGUGCGAAAGCGUGGGGAGCAAACAGG